AGUGGACGGAAGGCUUCUUUCAACAACUGCAACAGUUAGUCAUUCACCUCAGUAGCUUACUAGACAAAAUAGCCGAACCAAUUAAGCUCUUUAGACGCUUUAGUGUAUAUUAGCCACUGUGUUUUAAACCCACUUCUGUCGUCUAGUUAGUUAUCCGUUUUAAUGCAAUAUUUACGGUGUUGUUAUUAGUCAUCUAGCGGGCGUGUUAAGUUAGCAUUAGCCCAGCUAGCUAACAUCUCCGACCAUGAGCUCACUAAGAAAAGAGGGAAUGUGGCUGAACGUUCUUGUGAAAGAGGAAGAGGUGGAUGUCACAAUACAAAAACAAAUAGAGGGUGAGGCUGUUAUAGUGAAAGAAGAAGAGAAAGACGUUUCAGUUAAACAAGAGGAAGACGCGUUCAGAGUGAAAGAGGAGGAUGUUACUGUUAAAGAAGAGGAGGGGGAGAUGAGUCACAUUGGAAGAAGACGAGGAUGAAACUGGAUAUCUGGGCUCGGUUUCCCAAUGGCAUCCAAUGGUUCUAACGAUAAACGGGCCCAGAUUAACACUAGAGAGAGAUGUGACUAUCUUGGGUCCUCUGGGGACUCUCAACAACAUCAUGAUGCUGAAGAGGCAGAGAAGAGUCUCUCCAGAUCAGAACACCCCAAGAAACACCAGCAGAGACCCACAUUGAAGAAUCCUUACUGCUGCUCUGACUGUGAGAAGAACUGCAAAUCUAAAUCAGAACUUAAAAUCCACCAGAGAAUCCACACAGGAGAAAAAACGUAACACUGCUCUCAUUGUGGAAUGAGUUUCUCUAGAUCAUAUUCAUUGAAAACACACCUGCUAAUUCACACAGGAGAGAAAUCUUAUAUCUGUACUCAAUGUGGGUAGAGUUUUACUACAUCUUCCAAUCUGACUAAACAUCAGAAAACACACAACAGAGAAACCUUAUAGCUGUGAUCAAUGUAGGAAGAGUUGUUACAUCUGGCUAUCUGACUGUACACCAGAGAACACACACAGGAGAGAAACAUUUUAACAGUACUCAAUGUGGGAAGAGUUUUAUUUAGGCAAGCUGCCUGAAAGAACACCUAAGAACGCACACAGGAGAGAAAUCUUAACACUGCUCUGACUGCGAAAAGAGUUUUGUUGGCUUAAGUGAUUUAAAGAUCAGAGAACACACAGUAGAGUUCCCAUAUAGCUGUGAUCAAUGUGACAAGAGAUACUUUGAUGAAAGAUCUCUGAUCAAACAUCAGAAAAUACAUAGAUGAAGGAUUUGUUUUAAUAAUGUCAAAUCAAAUGUAUUUAUAUAGCCCUUCGUACAUCAGUUGAUAUCUCAAUGUGCUGUACAGAAACCCAGACUAAAACUCCAAACAGCAAGCAAUGCAGGUGUAGAAGCCCAAACCUAGGAAGAAACCUAGAGAGGAACCAGGCUAUGUGGGGUGGCCAGUCCUCUUCUGGCUGUGCCGGGUGGAGAUUAUAACAGAACAUGGCCAAGAUGUUCAAAUGUUCAUAAAUGACCAACAUGGUCAAAUAAUAAUAAUCACAGGCAGAACAAUUGAAACUGGAGGAGCAGCAGCACCGCCAGGUGGACUGGGGACAGCAAGGAGUCAUGUCAGGUAGUCCUGAGGCAUGGUCCUAGGGCUCAGGUCCUCCGAGAAAGAGAAUUAGAGAGAGCAUACUUAAAUUCACACAGGACACCGGAUAGGACAGGAGAAGUACUCCAGAUAUAACAAACUGACCCUAGCCCCGACACAAACUACUGCAGCAUAAAUACUGGAGGCUGAGACAGGAGGGGUCAGUAGACACUGUGGCCCCAUCCGAGGACACCCCCGGACAGGGCCAAACAGGAAGGAUAUAAUCCCACCCACUUUGCCAAAGCACAGCCCCCACACCACGAGGGAUAUCUUCAACCACCAACUUACCAUCCUGAGACAAGGCUGAGUAUAGCCCACAAAGAUCUCCGCCACGGCCCAACCCAGACAGGAUCACCAUAUAGGUUAAUAAUGUCACAAUGUCUGUAGUGGCUUCCUUUCGUCCUUACCAUAGCCACUGCCCAAGCCUGAAGCGGGGUUGUUUGGUACGCAUACAGUACACACUCAAGGUUUCUAAACGGCCAAACAUUCAAUGACAUCCAGGGAUAUGGUGCAACAAAAAUGCUUAUUCUUCUUAUAUCUAACAAAUAAAUGAUACUCCAAUCAA
Oncorhynchus kisutch (coho salmon) is the source of this 2176-nucleotide long non-coding RNA. RefSeq lists it as uncharacterized. Lineage: Eukaryota; Metazoa; Chordata; Actinopteri; Salmoniformes; Salmonidae. The transcript is spliced from 2 exons. The record is from RefSeq and is a predicted model, not a curated record.